GACGAACGCUGGCGGCGUGCUUAACACAUGCAAGUCGAACGGAAAGGCCCUGCUUUUGUGGGGUGCUCGAGUGGCGAACGGGUGAGUAACACGUGAGUAACCUGCCCUUGACUUUGGGAUAACUUCAGGAAACCGGGGCUAAUACCGGAUAGGAGCUCCUGCUGCAUGGUGGGGGUUGGAAAGUUUCGGCGGUUGGGGAUGGACUCGCGGCUUAUCAGCUUGUUGGUGGGGUAGUGGCUUACCAAGGCUUUGACGGGUAGCCGGCCUGAGAGGGUGACCGGCCCCAUUGGGACUGAGAUACGGCCCAGACUCCUACGGGAGGCAGCAGUGGGGAAUAUUGCACAAUGGGCGGAAGCCUGAUGCAGCAACGCCGCGUGCGGGAUGACGGCCUUCGGGUUGUAAACCGCUUUCGCCUGUGACGAAGCGUGAGUGACGGUAAUGGGUAAAGAAGCACCGGCUAACUACGUG
Molecule: ribosomal RNA, 468 nt
Filed under: uncultured bacterium
Lineage: Bacteria
Description: partial 16S ribosomal RNA
Rfam family: Bacterial small subunit ribosomal RNA
Source: RNAcentral